This 292-nucleotide ribosomal RNA is filed under the name uncultured bacterium. RNAcentral's name for it is "partial 16S ribosomal RNA". It matches the Rfam family "Bacterial small subunit ribosomal RNA", at positions 505 to 796 of the family's 1533-position model. The record is from RNAcentral.
GUGCCAGCAGCCGCGGUAAUACGUAGGGUGCGAGCGUUGCCCGGAUUUAUUGGGCGUAAAGGGCGCGUAGGCGGCGACGCACGUCCGUUGUGAAAUCGCUCGGCUCAACUGGGCGGGGUCAGCGGAUACGGUGUCGCUUGAGCAAGCUAGGGGGCAAUGGAAUUCCCGGUGUAGUGGUGGAAUGCGUAGAUAUCGGGAGGAACACCAGUGGCGAAGGCGGUUGCCUGGAGCUUUGCUGACGCUGAUGCGCGAAAGCGUGGGGAGCGAUCCGGAUUAGAAACCCCCGUAGUCC